AAGACUAUAGACCUGCGGAGUACCUGCGGAAGGAUCAUUACCUAGAGUUUGUAGACUUCGGUCUGCUACCUCUUACCCAUGUCUUUUGAGUACCUUCGUUUCCUCGGCGGGUCCGCCCGCCGAUUGGACAACAUUCAAACCCUUUGCAGUUGCAAUCAGCGUCUGAAAAAACAUAAUAGUUACAACUUUUAACAAUGGAUCUCU
Molecule: unclassified non-coding RNA, 204 nt
Filed under: soil metagenome
Description: partial contains 5.8S ribosomal RNA, internal transcribed spacer 2, and large subunit ribosomal RNA
Source: RNAcentral